GUCGUCUCUCGUAGCACCAACUAAAAUUGGAACGAUACGGGGAAGAUUAGCAUGGCCCCUGCACAAG
Molecule: small nuclear RNA, 67 nt
Filed under: Auricularia subglabra TFB-10046 SS5
Lineage: Eukaryota; Fungi; Basidiomycota; Agaricomycetes; Auriculariales; Auriculariaceae
Source: RNAcentral